GGGUGGCGAGGCUACCAUGCAGUCGAGCGGUAGAGAGGUGCUUGCACCUCUUGAGAGCGGCGGACGGGUGAGUAAUGCCUAGGAAUCUGCCUGGUAGUGGGGGAUAACGCUCGGAAACGGACGCUAAUACCGCAUACGUCCUACGGGAGAAAGCAGGGGACCUUCGGGCCUUGCGCUAUCAGAUGAGCCUAGGUCGGAUUAGCUAGUUGGUGAGGUAAUGGCUCACCAAGGCGACGAUCCGUAACUGGUCUGAGAGGAUGAUCAGUCACACUGGAACUGAGACACGGUCCAGACUCCUACGGGAGGCAGCAGUGGGGAAUAUUGGACAAUGGGCGAAAGCCUGAUCCAGCCAUGCCGCGUGUGUGAAGAAGGUCUUCGGAUUGUAAAGCACUUUAAGUUGGGAGGAAGGGCAUUAACCUAAUACGUUAGUGUUU
This 434-nucleotide ribosomal RNA is filed under the name Pseudomonas sp. RNAcentral's name for it is "bacterial SSU rRNA". It matches the Rfam family "Bacterial small subunit ribosomal RNA", at positions 38 to 470 of the family's 1533-position model. The record is from RNAcentral. Lineage: Bacteria; Pseudomonadati; Pseudomonadota; Gammaproteobacteria; Pseudomonadales; Pseudomonadaceae.